RNAcentral lists this ribosomal RNA (301 nucleotides) under uncultured bacterium. RNAcentral's name for it is "partial 16S ribosomal RNA". It matches the Rfam family "Bacterial small subunit ribosomal RNA", at positions 509 to 807 of the family's 1533-position model. The record is from RNAcentral.
CAGUCGCCACGGUAAUACAGAGGGUGCGAGCGUUAAUCGGAUUUACUGGGCGUAAAGCGUGCGUAGGCGGCUUCUUAAGUCGGAUGUGAAAUCCCUGAGCUUAACUUAGGAAUUGCAUUCGAUACUGGGAAGCUAGAGUAUGGGAGAGGAUGGUAGAAUUCCAGGUGUAGCGGUGAAAUGCGUAGAGAUCUGGAGGAAUACCGAUGGCGAAGGCAGCCAUCUGGCCUAAUACUGACGCUGAGGUACGAAAGCAUGGGGAGCAAACAGGAUUAGAGACCCCCGUAGUCCCUGUCUCUUAUAC